AGGAUUUUAGCUUAAUUAAAGUGUCUGGGUUGCAAUCAGAGGAUGUGAGAUAAAAUCUUGCAAAUCUUA
This 69-nucleotide transfer RNA is filed under the name Cetorhinus maximus. RNAcentral's name for it is "tRNA-Ala". It matches the Rfam family "tRNA". Rfam says of the family: Transfer RNA (tRNA) molecules are approximately 80 nucleotides in length. Their secondary structure includes four short double-helical elements and three loops (D, anti-codon, and T loops). Lineage: Eukaryota; Metazoa; Chordata; Chondrichthyes; Lamniformes; Cetorhinidae. The record is from RNAcentral.